Long non-coding RNA from Callithrix jacchus (white-tufted-ear marmoset), 1398 nucleotides. RefSeq lists it as uncharacterized. NCBI's taxonomy places the organism in Eukaryota, Metazoa, Chordata, Mammalia, Primates, Cebidae. The record is from RefSeq and is a predicted model, not a curated record.
UUGACAGAUAGCAAGCUAAGUGAAGUAAAGUAAAACAAUCAGCUCAUUCACUGAUCUCUAGAAGAAUGGGGGAAAAAAAUCUCAUCUUAAAUCUUCGCCAAUGAGAGAUGAAUUCAACUGGGAGAGAAGACGCAAUGUUACUACAGAAACUGCAAAUAAAACACGAGUUUGCUAAAAAUGAUGGUUUCCAGCUUCAUCCACAUCCCUGCAAAGGACACGAAUACAUUCUUCACUGCUCUCUGCCUGGAAUAUCCUUCUCCUCUAAUCUACUUAACUACUACUCACUCUUCAAGGGCCUGCUCAAAGUCCACCUCACAGAAUCACAGAAUGUCAGGGACGAAAAGGACCUUACAAAUCCACUGAAUCCAAAUAUUUUUAACGUGCUGAUGAAGAAACUAAAUGAAGAUCAGAGUUUCAGAGAAUAACCUGCCCAAGGUCAUGUUAUUGGCAGCCUGUGGCCAAGUUGGAAUUUGAACAACUUCUUCAACUAGUACCCAUUUCACUAGACUCGUUAUUUCCUCAUGUAAUUCUUAUUUACAAAAUUUAAGAUUGCAGUAAGUCAAGCUUUAGUAAUAAAUUUUUAAAAAUGUAUUUCGUGUAAGAUUCGUGUUAAUAAUACUUUUGAAAACUAAGGAGCUGAUCUACAACUUUACUUGUUAGUUUGAGUCAACUAUCUACAGCUACUUGAUUAUACAUGAAUACAGAUGUCAAAUAAUAUUCAUUUCAUAGAUAAAUAAGCUGACUGUCAGUCACUAAAUAGGAUCCUUCCUCAAGAGUGCAGCAUUUAUUUCAGCCUCUGCCAGUGGAAGUGUUGGAGCAGAUGUUGGCAGACUGUGACAUACAGUAUGUCUUUAAAACUCGUUGGGGUGUGAAAUUUCAUAAGGUCAAAAAAUGCUGCAUUUUGAUCAGCAGAUACAGGAAUUCUGUACUUUCAUAAAUUAUUUCUGAAAAACCAAUAACAUUUGCUAGUCAAAUGGAUAAACUAAAACGCUACACUGGCUUUAGGUAGGGCAUUUAGAUAAUAUAUGCUGCUUAUGUCUAAAAGCUAAUCUCUAUCACUUUAAAGUAAAUGUUCACCCAAAAAGUCUUUAAAAUGAAAAUGUGUUAAGUCAACACAAAAUACAAGAUAUUAUUUCAGUAGACAAUAGGAUUUAAAAAAUACUUUUCUACUGAAAGAAAGCUAUUAUUAUCUAAUGAGCAUUUUGGUGGGAAAAAAAAGAUGUUUUCCUUAACUAAUACACAUACUUUAUAGUGAUCUCAUUUUUAAAAUAUCUAUAUAAGAAUCCACUGAUAUAAACAGAGAAAGCUUUUUUUAAAGUUAGUAUCCUUAUCAAAUGACUUCACAAAUCUUUUAAUGCUUUGGUUUAUAGUUUUAGCUUUUACUUAAAAAAAAUACAA